Molecule: transfer RNA, 58 nt
Filed under: Lachnospiraceae bacterium
Lineage: Bacteria; Bacillati; Bacillota; Clostridia; Lachnospirales; Lachnospiraceae
Also listed under: 2 other names
Description: tRNA-Gly
Rfam family: tRNA
About the family: Transfer RNA (tRNA) molecules are approximately 80 nucleotides in length. Their secondary structure includes four short double-helical elements and three loops (D, anti-codon, and T loops).
Source: RNAcentral
GGCUCAGUUGGUAGAGUACGACCUUGCCAAGGUCGGGGUCGCGGGUUCGAACCCCGUC